UAUUAAUUAACACUUCGACUAUCGAUUGCCUUCCAUUGUUUAUCGCGCGAAAAAGCCGCCGUUUUCUUAAUUUCCUCGUUUACGACCAAUUUAAUUUCUUUUGUUGUGGCUGCUUAAUGAGCCGCACAAUGGAGUCCGUGAAAAGCCACUCAAAGUGCUCUACGACCCUGCAGGAAGGUGUGAACACGGGGCAGACGGCUGUCAAGUUCAAGUUCGGCUGAGAAUUGUUUUGGGCAGAUUCGUAUCGGGCCACCACCGCCAGCCACAAGGCAGUAGCUUCGCAGCCGCAGCCCGCACCACCAUCAUCAUCAUCUACUGCUCGUGGAGGUUCUAUGUUGUUUUUAGUUUUCAAUUGCUCGCUUCACGCCAUGCAACGCUAACGGCCUUGCUAAACAAUAGAUUCAGCCGCCAGUCGCUGUCGUCGGUUGCUGCCUUCGCCGUCUGUGCCUCCUGCACUUUUGCCUCCGCCUCCACCUCCGCCUCUGCUACUGCCUGCUACCUGUGUAUCUCUGCCACUAUGCGGCUGCUACUUUUAUCAAUUGACAGGCGUCGGCGGCGUCACAAUAAGCAGCACAUGCACUCAACUGAGGGAACAGCAGCCCCGGCGAUGCAACAAUUAAAGGCGUGCGAGUAAAGAUGUGCGAAACCGAUGUGGGGAUGCUGAUGUAGAUGAUGAUGCGGCUGCUGAACGGCUCCCAUGACAUUGAGCGGCGCGCCGUGUGUGCCAGGCCCCGGGAACGACUACAAUGAGCAAUUUUUCGAAGCCAAGCGGUUGGAUGGAUGGCUGGAUGGAUGGCUCGCUCGCUCGAAUGCUUGUUAACAGCCACAAUGACAACGGCAGACAGAUGACGACGUUGCACGUCAACGCUCAAGUGCAUCCGUUAUAACUGUCAAUGGGCAUUAACUCUUGUGGCGCACUGUGUCGCCGCUCUCUGCUCUGCUGUUGUUUUCGGCAACAGGUCCAGUGGACAAAGAUCUAAUCAAGGGAACGGCAGUAGCGUGAAAGCGAGCGUUUGCCUCCGCUUAAUGAUGAUACCGGAUAACCAGCAAUUAAAGGAUAUUUAUGCUGCAAUG
Drosophila persimilis is the source of this 1074-nucleotide long non-coding RNA. RefSeq lists it as uncharacterized. The transcript has 3 exons. The record is from RefSeq and is a predicted model, not a curated record. Lineage: Eukaryota; Metazoa; Arthropoda; Insecta; Diptera; Drosophilidae.